GCAGUGCUCCGGUCUGCCGCUGGUGGCAACACGAGAGGAAAGUCCGGGCAGCACAGGACACCCCACUUGCGAAAGUACAAGCAGUCGGCGACGGCUGGAUAUGGGAGAAGAGAAUGACCGCCUUAUAUUAAUAAGGUAAGGGUGAGAAGGUGGUGUAAGAGACCACCAGCCGGCUGGUGACAGUCGGGCUGUUCCAUCUGGGGGCUGCAAGUUCAUGUAAACCAUCGUCUGAGGGCGGUCCGUCCGAGGGCUUCGGCACACGGUGGAGGGUAGAAUGCUUCAGCCGUGGGGUGACUCACGGAGUAGAUAAAUGGCAGACACCAGCUUCGGUUGGUACAGAACCCGGCUUAUAGGAGCAGUGCUUUU
Molecule: RNase P RNA, 366 nt
Filed under: Prevotella sp.
Lineage: Bacteria; Pseudomonadati; Bacteroidota; Bacteroidia; Bacteroidales; Prevotellaceae
Description: RNase P RNA component class A
Rfam family: Bacterial RNase P class A
About the family: Ribonuclease P (RNase P) is a ubiquitous endoribonuclease, found in archaea, bacteria and eukarya as well as chloroplasts and mitochondria. Its best characterised activity is the generation of mature 5'-ends of tRNAs by cleaving the 5'-leader elements of precursor-tRNAs.
Source: RNAcentral